RNAcentral lists this ribosomal RNA (450 nucleotides) under uncultured bacterium. Its description in RNAcentral is "bacterial SSU rRNA". It matches the Rfam family "Bacterial small subunit ribosomal RNA", at positions 96 to 562 of the family's 1533-position model. The record is from RNAcentral.
CGGCGGACGGGUGAGUAACACGUGGGUAACCUGCCUUAUAGUGGGGAAUAGCCUUUCGAAAGGAAGAUUAAUACCGCAUAAGAUUGUAGUUUCGCAUGAAACAGCAAUUAAAGGAGCAAUUCGCUAUAAGAUGGACCCGCGGCGCAUUAGCUAGUUGGUGAGGUAAUGGCUCACCAAGGCCACGAUGCGUAGCCGACCUGAGAGGGUGAUCGGCCACAUUGGGACUGAGACACGGCCCAGACUCCUACGGGAGGCAGCAGUGGGGAAUAUUGCACAAUGGGGGAAACCCUGAUGCAGCAACGCCGCGUGAGUGAUGACGGUCUUCGGAUUGUAAAACUCUGUCUUUAGGGACGAUAAUGACGGUACCUAAGGAGGAAGCCACGGCUAACUACGUGCCAGCAGCCGCGGUAAUACGUAGGUGGCAAGCGUUGUCCGGAUUUACUGGGCGUA